GGCGGUAUGGGAUAAUGGUAUUCCAUCACAUUGCUAAUGUGUCCUACAGAAAUGUAGUCUAGGUUCGACCCCUAGUGCCGCCG
This 83-nucleotide transfer RNA is filed under the name Candidatus Scybalousia scybalohippi. Its description in RNAcentral is "tRNA-Ser". It matches the Rfam family "tRNA". From Rfam's summary of the family: Transfer RNA (tRNA) molecules are approximately 80 nucleotides in length. The record is from RNAcentral. Lineage: Bacteria; Pseudomonadati; Bacteroidota; Bacteroidia; Bacteroidales.